This 324-nucleotide ribosomal RNA is filed under the name Sphingomonas sp. RNAcentral describes it as "partial 23S ribosomal RNA". It matches the Rfam family "Bacterial large subunit ribosomal RNA", at positions 1 to 271 of the family's 2925-position model. Lineage: Bacteria; Pseudomonadati; Pseudomonadota; Alphaproteobacteria; Sphingomonadales; Sphingomonadaceae. The record is from RNAcentral.
GUGGGCUCUCAAGCGUGAGGUAAGGGCAAUUCGUGGAUGCCUUGGCGCAUACAGGCGAUGAAGGACGUGGCACGCUGCGAUAAGCGCGGGUGAGCUGUGAGCAAGCUUCGACCCCGCGAUUUCCGAAUGGGGAAACCCACCUAUCCGUUUAAUCUCGACCGUGGUCUUCGGACCGCGGGCGGGGUUAGGCGGAAACAGGUAUCUCGAGACUGAAUACAUAGGUUUCGAGAAGCGAACCCGGUGAACUGAAACAUCUCAGUAGCCGGAGGAAAAGACAUCAACCGAGAUUCCGUUAGUAGUGGCGAGCGAACGCGGACCAGGCCA